This 76-nucleotide transfer RNA is filed under the name Leucobacter sp. RNAcentral's name for it is "tRNA-Ala". It matches the Rfam family "tRNA". From Rfam's summary of the family: Transfer RNA (tRNA) molecules are approximately 80 nucleotides in length. Their secondary structure includes four short double-helical elements and three loops (D, anti-codon, and T loops). Further hydrogen bonds mediate the characteristic L-shaped molecular structure. tRNAs have two regions of fundamental functional importance: the anti-codon, which is responsible for specific mRNA codon recognition, and the 3' end, to which the tRNAs corresponding amino acid is attached (by aminoacyl-tRNA synthetases). tRNAs cope with the degeneracy of the genetic code in two manners: having more than one tRNA (with a specific anti-codon) for a particular amino acid; and 'wobble' base-pairing, i.e. permitting non-standard base-pairing at the 3rd anti-codon position. Lineage: Bacteria; Bacillati; Actinomycetota; Actinomycetes; Micrococcales; Microbacteriaceae. The record is from RNAcentral.
GGGACCUUAGCUCAGUUGGUAGAGCGCCUGCUUUGCAAGCAGGAUGUCAGGAGUUCGAAUCUCCUAGGUUCCACCA